This 386-nucleotide ribosomal RNA is filed under the name uncultured bacterium. RNAcentral's name for it is "bacterial SSU rRNA". It matches the Rfam family "Archaeal small subunit ribosomal RNA", at positions 339 to 727 of the family's 1478-position model. The record is from RNAcentral.
UCGCGAAAACUUUGCAAUACACGAAAGUGUGACAGGGCUAUCCCGAGUGCCAUCCGCUGAGGAAGGCUUUUACCCAGUCUAGAACGCUGGGGGAAUAAGGAGAGGGCAAGUCUGGUGUCAGCCGCCGCGGUAAUACCAGCUCUCCGAGUGGUGUGGAUGUUUAUUGGGCCUAAAGCAUCCGUAGCUGGCUAAGUUAGUCCCUUGUUAAAUCCACCGAAUUAAUCGUUGGAUCGCGGGGGAUACUGCUUGGCUAGGGGACGAGAGAGGCAGACGGUAUUUUCGGGGUAGGGGUGAAAUCCUAUAAUCCCGGGAAGACCACCAGUGGCGAAGGCUGUCUGCUAGAACGCGCCCGACGGUGAGGGAUGAAAGCUGGGGGAGCGAACCGG